RNAcentral lists this ribosomal RNA (493 nucleotides) under uncultured bacterium. RNAcentral describes it as "bacterial SSU rRNA". It matches the Rfam family "Bacterial small subunit ribosomal RNA", at positions 30 to 512 of the family's 1533-position model. The record is from RNAcentral.
AUUGAACGCUGGCGGCAUGCCUUACACAUGCAAGUCGAACGGCAGCGGACCUUCGGGUGCCGGCGAGUGGCGAACGGGUGAGUAAUGCAUCGGAACGUGCCAUUGAGUGGGGGAUAACGUAGCGAAAGUUGCGCUAAUACCGCAUAUUCUGUGCGCAGGAAAGCAGGGGACCGCAAGGCCUUGCGCUCUUUGAGCGGCCGAUGUCAGAUUAGCUAGUUGGUGAGGUAACGGCUUACCAAGGCGACGAUCUGUAGCGGGUCUGAGAGGAUGAUCCGCCACACUGGAACUGAGACACGGUCCAGACUCCUACGGGAGGCAGCAGUGGGGAAUUUUGGACAAUGGGGGCAACCCUGAUCCAGCCAUGCCGCGUGAGUGAAGAAGGCCUUCGGUUGUAAGACUCUUUCGUGUCGGAAGAACGUAGUUCCGCGGUUAAUAACCCGCCGGAAUUUGACGGUACCGCACGGAAGAAGCACCGGCGUAACUCCGUGCCAGC